Molecule: ribosomal RNA, 496 nt
Filed under: uncultured bacterium
Lineage: Bacteria
Description: partial 16S ribosomal RNA
Rfam family: Bacterial small subunit ribosomal RNA
Source: RNAcentral
AUGAACGCUGGCGGCGUGCCUAAUACAUGCAAGUCGAGCGAACGGACGAGAAGCUUGCUUCUCUGAUGUUAGCAGCGGACGGGUGAGUAACACGUGGAUAACCUACCUAUAAGACUGGGAUAACUUCGGGAAACCGGAGCUAUUACCGGUAAAUAUUUUGAACCCCUUGUUUCAAAAGUGAAAGACGGUCUUGCUGUCACUUAUAGAUGGAUCCGCGCUGCAUUAGCUAGUUGGUAAGGUAACGGCUUACCAAGGCAACGAUGCAUAGCCGACCUGAGAGGGUGAUCGGCCACACUGGAACUGAGACACGGUCCAGACUCCUACGGGAGGCAGCAGUAGGGAAUCUUCCGCAAUGGGCGAAAGCCUGACGGAGCAACGCCGCGUGAGUGAUGAAGGUCUUCGGAUCGUAAAACUCUGUUAUUAGGGAAGAACAUAUGUGUAAGUAACUGUGCACAUCUUGACGGUACCUAAUCAGAAAGCCACGGCUAACUACGUG